This is a non-coding RNA of Plectropomus leopardus (leopard coralgrouper), 219 nucleotides long. The record is from RefSeq and is a predicted model, not a curated record. Lineage: Eukaryota; Metazoa; Chordata; Actinopteri; Perciformes; Serranidae.
CUGAACCCACUACAACUUAUACCCUCACAGCAGACUUGGCAGGAGAAACUUUUACACCUGCCCUCACUGACAAAACCACCUCUGAAUUCAAAGAACUUGAAAGCCGAUUUAUAGAUACAUGCACUCAAAUAUACAGCAAGAAAUAUCCAACUCUGUUUCUUUCCUGCCGCGUGCAAAGAUUCAGUGCCAUACCAGCACGAGCAAAUGGAGUUAGAGCAA